AAACAGGAUCUUAAUCUCUAAGUAUGGAUGAGGUUCACUGAUAGAGUUUUAGGAAUUUUUAUUCCACAACAAAAGGAUAAUCCCCCUAAGCCGAGGCCCAACACGGCCCAUUAAUGGUACUCCACUAGCCCACUAGCUUCGCUCUUGGCUUCCGGCGAGAAGCUGGCGUGGCGAGCGACAGAGCGGCGGCGGCGGCCUCGCCGUUUGCCGUCGCUGUGCCCUGACUCGUCGUCGGGGCUGCCGCCAACCGUAAACACCUUUUCCCGAUUGCCAGAUAGUGAUUAUACCUAGAAAGAGCCUUGAGCUCCUUCAAGUGGAGUCGUUGCAGAAGGACAAAAUCCAGCUUGGCAAACUCCAGAAUGGAGGAGUUAGGUGUCGGCUCUCCUUUGUACUCUGAGAUAUAAUGUAGAGCCUCAAGUCUUCUUAAGGUCCGUGACAGUGGUAGGUGAAAGGCUCGGUUCACUUGUUGGGCCAAUGGGUAUUCAAGCUUGUUUCUCAUCGAUUCAAGAUGUGCCUCGUAAAUAAGAUAGCCUCUUCUAGUUCUGGCUCUCCAUGUGUGAAAAGACAAGAUUUCUAUGCCGUGAGCUGCUAUCUUUUUUAGAACUAGUAAGCAGGCAGAAUCAAGAAGCAUAUAUACAAAAUGCCAAAUGGCUAUAUCAGGAGUUUUCAUUAUGUACCAACUGGAGAUACCCAAAACCCUUGCUGCCUCAGUAGGCGAAACCGAAGGGCAACCUCAUGGAGACAAGUGCUGUUGAAUUCAGUAUCAUGGAUGCUACUUAAGAUGUCGAGAAUCUGUUUUUUGAAAUGAUGGUCUAUACUUAAAUGUUGGAGUGUGUCCACUA
Panicum virgatum (switchgrass) is the source of this 842-nucleotide long non-coding RNA. RefSeq lists it as uncharacterized. The record is from RefSeq and is a predicted model, not a curated record. The transcript has 3 exons. Lineage: Eukaryota; Viridiplantae; Streptophyta; Magnoliopsida; Poales; Poaceae.